AUACGUAGGGGGCAAGCGUUAUCCGGAUUUACUGGGUGUAAAGGGAGCGUAGACGGAAGGCCAAGUCUGAUGUGAAUGCCCGCGGCUCAACUGCGGGACUGCAUUGGAAACUGGUCAUCUGGAGUGCAGGAGGGGUAAGCGGAAUUCCUAGUGUAGCGGUGAAAUGCGUAGAUAUUAGGAGGAACUCCGAUUGCGAAGGCAGUCCGCUGGGGCACGUCUGACGCUGAUGCUCGAAGGUGCGGGAAUCAAACAGGAUUAGAUACCCUGGUAGUCCGCACGGUAAACGAUGAUUACCCGCUGUCGGCGGUAGACAGUCGGCGGCCAAGCGAAAGCGAUAAGUAUUCCGCCUGGGGAGUACGGCCGCAAGGUUGAAACUCAAAUGAAUUGACGGGG
This 393-nucleotide ribosomal RNA is filed under the name uncultured bacterium. RNAcentral's name for it is "partial 16S ribosomal RNA". It matches the Rfam family "Bacterial small subunit ribosomal RNA", at positions 523 to 918 of the family's 1533-position model. The record is from RNAcentral.